This 781-nucleotide ribosomal RNA is filed under the name Penicillium sp. Its description in RNAcentral is "SSU rRNA". It matches the Rfam family "Eukaryotic small subunit ribosomal RNA", at positions 65 to 858 of the family's 1831-position model. Lineage: Eukaryota; Fungi; Ascomycota; Eurotiomycetes; Eurotiales; Aspergillaceae. The record is from RNAcentral.
AUAAGCACUUGUACUGUGAACUGCGAAUGGCUCAUUAAAUCAGUUAUCGUUUAUUUGAUAGUACCUUACUACAUGGAUACCUGUGGUAAUUCUAGAGCUAAUACAUGCUAAAAACCCCGACUUCAGGAAGGGGUGUAUUUAUUAGAUAAAAAACCAACGCCCUUCGGGGCUCCUUGGUGAAUCAUAAUAACUUAACGAAUCGCAUGGCCUUGCGCCGGCGAUGGUUCAUUCAAAUUUCUGCCCUAUCAACUUUCGAUGGUAGGAUAGUGGCCUACCAUGGUGGCAACGGGUAACGGGGAAUUAGGGUUCGAUUCCGGAGAGGGAGCCUGAGAAACGGCUACCACAUCCAAGGAAGGCAGCAGGCGCGCAAAUUACCCAAUCCCGAUACGGGGAGGUAGUGACAAUAAAUACUGAUACGGGGCUCUUUUGGGUCUCGUAAUUGGAAUGAGAACAAUUUAAAUCCCUUAACGAGGAACAAUUGGAGGGCAAGUCUGGUGCCAGCAGCCGCGGUAAUUCCAGCUCCAAUAGCGUAUAUUAAAGUUGUUGCAGUUAAAAAGCUCGUAGUUGAACCUUGGGUCUGGCUGGUCGGUCCGCCUCACCGCGAGUACUGAUCCGGCUGGACCUUUCCUUCUGGGGAACCUCAUGGCCUUCACUGGCUGUGGGGGGAACCAGGACUUUUACUGUGAAAAAAUUAAAGUGUUCAAAGCAGGCCUUUGCUCGAAUACUUUAGCAUGGAAUAAUAAAAUAAGGAAGUGGCGGUUCAAUUUUGGUUGGUUUCUAA